CUUGCCCUACGGGAGGCAGCAGUGAGGAAUAUUGGUCAAUGGCCGGAAGGCUGAACCAGCCAAGCCGCGUGAAGGACGAAGGUGCCAAGCAUUGUAAACUUCUUUUGUCAAGGGACAAAAUCAGGCUCGAGAGCCUGACCGAGGGUACUUGAAGAAAAAGCAUCGGCUAACUCCGUGCCAGCAGCCGCGGUAAUACGGAGGAUGCGAGCGUUAUCCGGAUUUAUUGGGUUUAAAGGGUGCGUAGGCGGAAUAUCAAGUCAGCGGUAAAAAUUCGGGGCUCAACCCCGUCGUGCCGUUGAAACUGA
This 305-nucleotide ribosomal RNA is filed under the name uncultured bacterium. Its description in RNAcentral is "bacterial SSU rRNA". It matches the Rfam family "Bacterial small subunit ribosomal RNA", at positions 332 to 636 of the family's 1533-position model. The record is from RNAcentral.